CGACCGCGACCCCAGGUCAGACGGGACUACCCGCUGAGUUUAAGCAUAUCAAUAAGCGGUGGAGA
This 65-nucleotide ribosomal RNA is filed under the name Plantago ovata (blond plantain). RNAcentral's name for it is "partial 28S ribosomal RNA". Lineage: Eukaryota; Viridiplantae; Streptophyta; Magnoliopsida; Lamiales; Plantaginaceae. The record is from RNAcentral.